CAUGUCUCAACUAGAUGUCUAACAGACACAACAUGGUUGAAACAAAUGUCUCCUCCCCCUGCGCUUUCUCUCUGUCUCCAGAGAUGUGUCUCCCUUAUUCUUUCUAUUUCAGGCAAUAGCACCAUUGUUCACUCAUUUGUUCAGGCCAUUUGUCUCUGUCUCUGUCUCUGUCUCUCUCUCUGUCUUUGUCUCUCUCUGUCUCUGUCUCUCUCUCUCUGUCUCUCUCUGUCUCUCCCUCUCUCUCUCUCUCUCACUAGGAAUUGAACUCAGGACCUUGUGCUUGCCAGGCAGGCGCUGUGCCAUUGAGCCACAUCCCCACCCUUUAAUUCCUCUCCUGUCCUUGUCUCUAUCUGACCCAUCAGCACAGCUAUUGAGUUUUACUUCCUGAAUAUCUUAUGUCAUUGACUCUAAGACCCCUUUCUCCCAUGUGACAAUGUCUAUGAAUUGAGACUGAAUCUUAUAAUUGGUGGCAUGGUAUGGUUUAAUUAAUGGUGUUUUCUUUCUACAGUGACAUUCCACUGCCCUGGCCAUCUGUCUCCUGCACUAGCAAUCUGGUCCGAGCCCUCUCCCCCCACACCACAGCAGUGGACUGAUAACUAAUCUCUUGCGCUUCCACUCUUGGCCCUCUUCAGUCUGUUCAGCGCCCAGUGACCAGAGAAUUUUUUUCAAAUUAGAAAUCAGCUUUCCCUGUUCUUGUGCAGAAAGUUUGAACAGCUUCCGAUUGUAUUCAGAAUGAAUCCUAAAGUCUUCCCCACAGCAUGUAAUCCUCUGUGGAAUGAGGGCGCCUCGCUUCCAGCUAUUUUUCGUGCUGUGCUCCAGCUCAAAUUCUCAAGCUUUCUUGACAACUCUCAGACAGAUCCAAGCAAACACUGUCUGGAAACCCCUUUCUCUGCACUCAUCUCCUACCUUUAUUUUCUUUUUGUUCAAAUGCCAUCUCCCCACAGGACCACGCUGGCUGAAACCAUCAUCUCCUUCCCUCUCUGUUUUCUUUGCAACACUUAUUGAAAAUCCUGUACUUCAUUUAAUUGCUCAUCUUCUUCCCCAACCCACACAGUAUAAAUUCCUUAGGAACAGGGACCUUGCUUCUGUCCUCUGACCCCUAGCAUGUAUUGGAUGCUCUCUAUAUAUUUGUUAAAUGAAAGACUCAACGAGCGGAAAUUCAAAGUCCUGAGAAGCGUAGAUAGUAUCACCUCAGAGCAGCUCUUUACUCUUGUCUGUCUCUAUUUCUGCAGGAAGAAGUGACCAUUGUACCAGCCAGCCCUGCUGGGUGAGGUACAGGAGCGAUGUGGGUUGUUUCAGUUGUACUCUGAGGAGCAGAGUUACUCACCACCGUGAGCUGAAGAGGCGAAUCCGGACAGGUCUGCUUGGCAGCCAAUCAUCGGGCUGCUGUGAGUGGGCUUUGUUCAUGGGCUUCGGAUGUACCUGCGUUGCUCUCUCUUCACACAGAUGCCACACCAAAGACUGAGCGGGCCAAGCUGAAGCAGUUUAAAUUGAUCCUCUGAAGGUGACAUUUGCCUAAUUGGAUCACGGAAAGCACACUUUUCUCAAAGGCUUUCCAAACACUUGGUUCUGCAGUGUGUGAGUCAGGCAGACCUUCAUCCCCAAGAGACUUGAACCUUGAGGGUCAAAGUACCACUCUAUCUGCUCUGCCUUCCGUCCCGAAUCCAGCUCCAGCUGCACUUCUUGGAGAGGAAGUGCUCUGUCCUCAGCUCUGUGCCAAUCAGGAGGAUAAUAAACAAAACACCCUUGAAGCUAUAUGGAUGGAUGAUACCCAAGAGGUAUCAUCUCUUCACAAGAAAAAGAUUCUCUUCAACCAAGAUGCAACUAAAACCAAUAUUUUUUUUAAAGAAGGAUCACAUUGAGAUAUUUAUUUAUUUAUUUAAUUUUAUUUAAGGAGAAAAGAAAAAAAAGCAGAGAAAGGGUACAAAUUAUACAGAUUUACAGAAAAAAAUGAACAGUAGGAAAUCACUAGUUAAUGGAUUACAUAUUGUUAUCUUAGAAAUAAUUGUUCAAGUCACAAAAUUAAAGCUUGUAAAGUGGACAUUCCAUCAAUGAUACUGCAAACAGUUCUGUUCAAUGAUCCAAUAAAACUCUGUGAUAUCAUUUUCUAUCUUAUACACUUAAAUAUACAUGCAGUUAUAUAGUUUAGAGCACAUUCUUUUCCUCUCUUUUGUACCAUGACUAUUACACAUUUUGGGUUUCAUUGCUCCCACGGUUCUUAUUACUUUUUUGGACGAGAGUAAAACCAAAUGUGACAUAACAGAACAGAAUCGGUCAAGUCAAAAGGGUGGACAUAAUAGAUAAUGUAAAAACAUAAUACAAGGUGAUCAACAAUGGUUACCAUAAUGCCUCCCGCUAUCUCUAAUAGAAUUGCCAAUAUCGUUAGUUAAAAUACAAUUGAACAAAACAGUAAAAAAUAAAACCGACAAAACCAAAACAUUGGAGACAUUGUAGGUCUUCAAAAGUAGAUAAAAGUCAACGAGAAUGGGCGUUAUAAUGAAUCUCAUUAUCUUCACAGCUGAUGCCUAAACUUUCGAACCUGAUACUAUCCAGCAAAACAGAAUAGGGGAACAUCAGUUAAAAACCAGAUGGUGAGAGUAAUACAGGGCUUUAAAUCGAGGUAAUGGAAAGUCAAAGUGGGUUACUAUAAUAUAUCCUGCUAUUUUUUCCUUUAAUUAAAAG
Molecule: long non-coding RNA, 2682 nt
Organism: Cavia porcellus (domestic guinea pig)
Lineage: Eukaryota; Metazoa; Chordata; Mammalia; Rodentia; Caviidae
Exons: 4
Source: RefSeq, a predicted model, not a curated record